CUUGACUAUCCAUUUCCUGUAGAGCCACAUGCCACUCUCCCUCAGGUCUCUCUGCACAUUGCUUAGAUGUCACCUAGUCAACAAGGCCUUUUCUAAUUAUCUGUUUAAUAUACAAUAGAAAUGACAAUCACUAAUACUCCCUAUUAUGUCUUAUUAUGUUUUAUUCUUCUCUAUAGAACUCCUAUCUACUUAUAUAUUUAUUGUUUGUUCUGUUUCCUACUGCCUCAUGCACAGAUGCUUAAACAUAUAGUAACCAUUUACUAAUUUUUUAUUAAAACUAUGAAUAAAAUAAUGAAUUAAUAAAUGUGUCUAUUACCUGAUUAUGCCAACCUCAAUACUUUUGUGUGUAUCUCAAUAUUCCAGUUACUGCAAAAAUCAAGAUGUAUCUUCAAAUGGGAUUUGCCUGCAUAUAUUUAUUGAUCAAACUGAGAGCUUCUAUUCAGUUGCUCCUACAGCAGGGAGAAGUGAGUUAUAGAGACUACCUGACUUUGACUAUGUGGACUUCAGAAGUUAAUCUCUGCUGGCAACUUUUCCAAAAAAAGAUUACCACCAUCAAUUCCAAUGUGAUAUAUAUUUGUAUAAAGAAGAUAGUUCCAACUGCAAGGAAGAACACCAAAACAUUGAGUAUGGAGAAGAGUGGGAGAAUCAUUGUCCCCUGUUCAGAGCAUGAAAGACUGCCCACGGUCCGACAGAAGACCGUGUUGUUCUUCAAAGAACAGAGCUGUGCACCUGGAGCCUAGCAAGGAAAAAACAGAAGCUGCAAGAGGCUCAGGGCGAAUGGAACUGGCCAGGCAAAGACUUACAACACUUGGAGAGAUGCCUGGGUUUAAUUCUAUGGUUUUGUUUAGCAAUGCAUACUCUGAUAUUGGCCUAUAGAAGAUCACUCUUACUGCUGUGUAAAGAACGGACCAUAGCCAAUUGAGAAUGGAAACAAGAAACCCAGGGAGGAGGAUAUUACAGUGGCCUAGGCAAAACAUGUAGUGGCUAGAACUGAGAAGUUCUAGCUGAGAAGUGGUCCUGGAGGUGGCAAGUUCAGUGUUGAAGAUAGGGCUAACAGCCUGGCUGAUGGGUUGGGAGGAAUUAAGGAUGCUUUCAGGGGUCUGGGCUAGAGCAAGUGUAUGUGUCCCUCUGUGGGCAACAUUGUCAUCUAGGGUUUACAUGAUCAUGGGAAAUGCCGUAAAAGAUAAAAGCUACAAUCUUCAAAUAAAUGCUAUAAUUCUA
Molecule: long non-coding RNA, 1221 nt
Organism: Pan paniscus (pygmy chimpanzee)
Lineage: Eukaryota; Metazoa; Chordata; Mammalia; Primates; Hominidae
Source: Ensembl